CUUCCAUUCUGGCAUGCAUGCUUUCUCCCUGUACCUGUGUUGUUGUGUUAUGGAGGGAUAACAAGGCCAGUGCUAUGUCUUCGGUGCCAGAAUGUUCCUGUCUUCUGGUUCUGUCCCAAUUCGCUGGUACAUCC
RNAcentral lists this small nucleolar RNA (134 nucleotides) under Oncorhynchus tshawytscha (Chinook salmon). RNAcentral describes it as "Small nucleolar RNA SNORA57". It matches the Rfam family "Small nucleolar RNA SNORA57". Rfam says of the family: U99 belongs to the H/ACA class of snoRNAs which are thought to guide the sites of modification of uridines to pseudouridines, the target for this family is unknown. The record is from Rfam by way of RNAcentral. Lineage: Eukaryota; Metazoa; Chordata; Actinopteri; Salmoniformes; Salmonidae.